AAUCUCCAUUGUUCUACCCUUUUCCCAACCAUACAAUUACACAAUCAUUCCCAAAUGUCAAACCCAACUCACAUCUCUCACCAAAAGAUCCUAAGAACAUUAACUCCUCUUUGAAAUCUACAAGGGAUUUUUCACAACCUCAAAACAUUACUUAGCUCCUAACAACUUUGCUAGCCCCCUUUUUCUUUCUUUUUCUUCUUUUUUUUUUUUUUUUUUUUUUUUUUUUUUUUGGGGGUUUUUUUUUUUUUUUUUUUUUUUUUUUUUUUUUUUUUUUUUUUUUUUUUUUUUUUUUUUUUUUUUUUUUUUUUUUUUUUUUUUUUUUUUUUUUUUUUUUUUUUUUUUGAUGGGGGCCAAGACUUUUCAUAACUUGAGCUAGAGGUUUUUCUACUUAUCCCAAUAAGACAAUUCACUUAAACACAAUGAGUCAUUUCUUUUCCUUUUUCAUUGCUCCCAAAUCAUAAUCACAACU
This 469-nucleotide long non-coding RNA is filed under the name Brassica napus (rape). RNAcentral describes it as "long non-coding RNA (BNAP_LNC025908)". The record is from RNAcentral. Lineage: Eukaryota; Viridiplantae; Streptophyta; Magnoliopsida; Brassicales; Brassicaceae.